UCGUAGCUUAAUUGGAUAGAGCAUCUGACUACGGAUCAGAAGGUUGUGAGUUCGAGUCCCGCCGA
RNAcentral lists this transfer RNA (65 nucleotides) under human gut metagenome. It matches the Rfam family "tRNA", at positions 5 to 66 of the family's 71-position model. From Rfam's summary of the family: Transfer RNA (tRNA) molecules are approximately 80 nucleotides in length. RNAcentral also lists the same sequence under 1 other name. The record is from RNAcentral.